RNAcentral lists this ribosomal RNA (391 nucleotides) under uncultured Oscillatoria sp. RNAcentral describes it as "bacterial SSU rRNA". It matches the Rfam family "Bacterial small subunit ribosomal RNA", at positions 376 to 770 of the family's 1533-position model. Lineage: Bacteria; Bacillati; Cyanobacteriota; Cyanophyceae; Oscillatoriales; Oscillatoriaceae. The record is from RNAcentral.
CGAAGGCCUGACGGAGCAAGACCGCGUGGGGGAAGAAGGCUCUUGGGUUGUAAACCCCUUUUCUCUGGGAAGAAAGUUGUGAAAGCAACCUGACGGUACCAGAGGAAUCAGCAUCGGCUAACUCCGUGCCAGCAGCCGCGGUAAGACGGAGGAUGCAAGCGUUAUCCGGAAUGAUUGGGCGUAAAGCGUCCGCAGGUGGCAGUUCAAGUCUGCUGUCAAAGACCGGGGCUUAACUUCGGAAAGGCAGUGGAAACUGAACAGCUAGAGUAUGGUAGGGGCAGAGGGAAUUCCUGGUGUAGCGGUGAAAUGCGUAGAGAUCAGGAAGAACAUCGGUGGCGAAGGCGCUCUGCUGGACCAUAACUGACACUCAGGGACGAAAGCUAGGGGAGCG